RNAcentral lists this ribosomal RNA (102 nucleotides) under Acinetobacter baumannii. RNAcentral also lists the same sequence under 1 other name. The record is from RNAcentral. Lineage: Bacteria; Pseudomonadati; Pseudomonadota; Gammaproteobacteria; Moraxellales; Moraxellaceae.
GCGGUGGUCCCACCUGACCCCAUGCCGAACUCAGCAGUGAAACGCCGUAGCGCCGAUGGUAGUGUGGGGUCUCCCCAUGUGAGAGUAGGGAACUGCCAGACA